Molecule: ribosomal RNA, 879 nt
Filed under: uncultured bacterium
Lineage: Bacteria
Description: bacterial SSU rRNA
Rfam family: Bacterial small subunit ribosomal RNA
Source: RNAcentral
GCCUACCAUGCAGUCGAGCGGCAGCACAGAGAACUUGUUUCUCGGGUGGCGAGCGGCGGACGGGUGAGUAAUGCCUGGGAAAUUGCCCUGAUGUGGGGGAUAACCAUUGGAAACGAUGGCUAAUACCGCAUGAUGCCUACGGGCCAAAGAGGGGGACCUUCGGGCCUCUCGCGUCAGGAUAUGCCCAGGUGGGAUUAGCUAGUUGGUGAGGUAAGGGCUCACCAAGGCGACGAUCCCUAGCUGGUCUGAGAGGAUGAUCAGCCACACUGGAACUGAGACACGGUCCAGACUCCUACGGGAGGCAGCAGUGGGGAAUAUUGCACAAUGGGCGCAAGCCUGAUGCAGCCAUGCCGCGUGUGUGAAGAAGGCCUUCGGGUUGUAAAGCACUUUCAGUAGGGAGGAAGGUGGUAGUGUUAAUAGCGCUAUCAUUUGACGUUACCUACAGAAGAAGCACCGGCUAACUCCGUGCCAGCAGCCGCGGUAAUACGGAGGGUGCGAGCGUUAAUCGGAAUUACUGGGCGUAAAGCGCAUGCAGGUGGUUUGUUAAGUCAGAUGUGAAAGCCCCGGGCUCAACCUGGGAAUUGCAUUUGAAACUGGCAAACUAGAGUACUGUAGAGGGGGGUAGAAUUUCAGGUGUAGCGGUGAAAUGCGUAGAGAUCUGAAGGAAUACCGGUGGCGAAGGCGGCCCCCUGGACAGAUACUGACACUCAGAUGCGAAAGCGUGGGGAGCAAACAGGAUUAGAUACCCUGGUAGUCCACGCCGUAAACGAUGUCUACUUGGAGGUUGUGGCCUUGAGCCGUGGCUUUCGGAGCUAACGCGUUAAGUAGACCGCCUGGGGAGUACGGUCGCAAGAUUAAAACUCAAAGGAAUUUGACGGG